UGACAACCGGUCAUGUAGCAUGAACACCUGGAGUUCUCCAUGCUACUGAGGGAUCUAGAUAGACCCCGGGUGUUCAGCCAAUGAGCUUCCCUUCCUGAGCAUUCCUUCCCUCAAAAGCCCUCCCUACUCUCCGCAGGGAACCAAACUGGAUCCAACUGGAUUGCCCUGAGGACUGCGUCUGGGUACACAGGAGACCAGGAACCACAGCAUCUGUCUCAGACUCCGAUGUUUCUCACCCAGGACUGACUAUAGCCUUCUGUCCAGCAUUGUGUCACAACAGUAAGAAAAGAAACCAGUGACCCAACCAAAUACAAGACGUGGAACCUUUCAGACAUUUCAAUUUGAAUGAGCCAAACACGCAAAAGACAUUUCAGAGACGCUGCAGACACCUGAACGUGGACUAGAAAUUUGAUCCUAUAAAAUCGUAGAGUCAGAUGUGAUGACACAUCCCUCUAAUCUCAGCAGCUGUGAGGUGGAAGCAAGAGAAUUUGGAGUUCAAGGUCAUCCUCU
This is a long non-coding RNA of Mastomys coucha (southern multimammate mouse), 510 nucleotides long. RefSeq lists it as uncharacterized. Lineage: Eukaryota; Metazoa; Chordata; Mammalia; Rodentia; Muridae. The transcript is spliced from 3 exons. The record is from RefSeq and is a predicted model, not a curated record.